UGGGGAAUCUUGGACAAUGGGCGCAAGCCUGAUCCAGCCAUGCCGCGUGAGUGAUGAAGGCCUUAGGGUUGUAAAGCUCUUUUGCCGGGGACGAUAAUGACGGUACCCGGAGAAUAAGCCCCGGCAAACUUCGUGCCAGCAGCCGCGGUAAUACGAAGGGGGCUAGCGUUGUUCGGAAUUACUGGGCGUAAAGCGCACGUAGGCGGAUUGUUAAGUCAGAGGUGAAAUCCCGGAGCUCAACUUCGGAACUGCCUUUGAUACUGGCAAUCUAGAGUCCGGAAGAGGUUAGUGGAAUUCCCAGUGUAGAGGUGAAAUUCGUAGAUAUUGGGAAGAACACCAGUGGCGAAGGCGGCUAACUGGUCCGGUACUGACGCUGAGGUGCAAAAGCGUGGGGAGCAAACAGGAUUAGAUACCCCAGCGGGCUGGCAAGGCGCAU
This 436-nucleotide ribosomal RNA is filed under the name uncultured bacterium. RNAcentral's name for it is "bacterial SSU rRNA". It matches the Rfam family "Bacterial small subunit ribosomal RNA", at positions 355 to 809 of the family's 1533-position model. The record is from RNAcentral.